RNAcentral lists this ribosomal RNA (477 nucleotides) under uncultured bacterium. Its description in RNAcentral is "partial 16S ribosomal RNA". It matches the Rfam family "Bacterial small subunit ribosomal RNA", at positions 28 to 507 of the family's 1533-position model. The record is from RNAcentral.
GAUUAACGCUGGCGGCGUGCAUAACACAUGCAAGUCGAACGAUGAAACUUUAAUGAACCCUUCGGGGAGAAUUAAAGCGGAUUAGUGGCGAACGGGUGAGUAACGCGUGAGUAACCUGCCUUACACAAGGGGAUAGCCUUUGGAAACGAAGAAUAAUACCCUAUAAAACCAUAAAAGCACAUGCAAUUAUGGUCAAAGUGAUAGCGGUGUAAGAUGGACUUGCGUCUGAUUAGCUAGUUGGUGUGAUAAAAGCCCACCAAGGCAACGAUCAGUAGCCGGCUUGAGAGAGUGUACGGCCACAUUGGGACUGAGACACGGCCCAGACUCCUACGGGAGGCAGCAGUGGGGAAUUUUGCACAAUGGGGGAAACCCUGAUGCAGCGACGCCGCGUGAUUUAGAAGGCCUUCGGGUUGUAAAAAUCUUUUGUAUAGGAAGAAAAUGACAGUACUAUACGAAUAAGGUCCGGCUAAUUACGUG